Oryza sativa Japonica Group (Japanese rice) is the source of this 206-nucleotide microRNA precursor. It matches the Rfam family "MIR812 microRNA precursor family". NCBI's taxonomy places the organism in Eukaryota, Viridiplantae, Streptophyta, Magnoliopsida, Poales, Poaceae. The record is from Rfam.
AAAAAGGCAAACCCUGGGAUUCCGUGUCCAACUUUGACUGUCCGUCCUAUAUGAAAUUUUUUUAUAAUUCGUAUUUUCAUUGUUGUUAGAUGGUAAAACAUGAUUAAUAUUUUAUGCGUGACUUGUCUUUUUAAUUUUUUUCAUAUUUUUUUUAAAUAAGACGGACGGUCAAACAUUGGGCACAGAAACCAGAGUUUACCUUUUUU